RNAcentral lists this ribosomal RNA (253 nucleotides) under uncultured bacterium. RNAcentral's name for it is "partial 16S ribosomal RNA". It matches the Rfam family "Bacterial small subunit ribosomal RNA", at positions 524 to 776 of the family's 1533-position model. The record is from RNAcentral.
UACGUAGGGUGCGAGCGUUAAUCGGAAUUACUGGGCGUAAAGCGUGCGCAGGCGGUUAGCCAAGUCCGGUGUGAAAUCCCCGGGCUUAACCUGGGAAUUGCGCUUGAAACUAGCGGGCUUGAGUGUGGCAGAGGGGGGUGGAAUUCCACGUGUAGCAGUGAAAUGCGUAGAGAUGUGGAGGAACACCGAUGGCGAAGGCAGCCCCCUGGGUCAACACUGACGCUCAUGCACGAAAGCGUGGGGAGCAAACAGG